AGAGUUUGAUCCUGGCUCAGGAUGAACGCUGGCGGCGUGCCUAAUACAUGCAAGUCGAACGAGGCCCUUUGUAUUCGUACGAAGGUGUCCUAGUGGCGAACGGGUGAGUAACACGUUGGUGACCUACCCCGAAGCGGGGGACAACUCCGGGAAACUGGAGCUAAUACCCCAUGUGAUCCAUGAAGUUAGAGGUUUAUGGAUGAAAGGAGCAAUCCGCUUUGGGACGGGCCUGCGGCCCAUCAGCUAGUUGGUAGGGUAACGGCCUACCAAGGCGACGACGGGUAGGGGGCCUGAGAGGGUGGUCCCCCACAAUGGAACUGAGACACGGUCCAUACAUCUACGGAUGGCAGCAGUAGGGAAUAUUGCACAAUGGGCGAAAGCCUGAUGCAGCGACGCCGCGUGGAGGAUGAAGGCCUUCGGGUUGUAAACUCCUUUUCGGGGGGAUGAGGAAGGACAGUACCCCCAGAAUAAGUCUCGGCUANCUACGUGCCAGCAGCCGCGGUAAACGUGGGAGGCGAGCGUUAUCCGGAUUUACUGGGCGUAAGCGCGCGCAGGCGGUU
Molecule: ribosomal RNA, 560 nt
Filed under: uncultured bacterium
Lineage: Bacteria
Description: bacterial SSU rRNA
Rfam family: Bacterial small subunit ribosomal RNA
Source: RNAcentral